CACAAUAAACAUAUGAAGGCUGCUACCGCCGACAGUGCUCGGGCAAGUGCUGGAGGUGAAUUAUUUAUUACCCUUGUCUUUUGCGCACUUGUUGUUUCCUGGGCGGGUUCGCCCGCCAUCCAGGACCACAUCAUAAACCUUUUUUAUGCAGUUGCAAUCAGCGUCAGUACUAACAAAUGUAAAUCAUUUA
Molecule: unclassified non-coding RNA, 190 nt
Filed under: soil metagenome
Description: partial internal transcribed spacer 1
Source: RNAcentral